GGAGAGGUAGAUGGAUUGAGCAAUCAAGCCCUGCUCCGGCCGCCGCCGCCGCCGCCGCCGCUGUUGCCGGUGACCCGCCAGCCAUGUCGUGCUCGCACCUCUCCACCGCCUGGUCCUCCUCCGCCCUGGCCACCCGCCGCCGCUCCGCUCCUAGCUGCGGCAGCAGCGGCCGCCUGCAGGUGGUGCGGUGCUCGCUGCGUGAGCUGCGGAGCCGCAUCGACUCGGUGCGCAACACGCAGAAGAUCACGGAGGCGAUGAAGCUGGUGGCGGCGGCCAAGGUGCGGCGGGCGCAGGAGGCGGUGGUGUCC
RNAcentral lists this unclassified non-coding RNA (308 nucleotides) under Hevea brasiliensis (rubber tree). The record is from RNAcentral. Lineage: Eukaryota; Viridiplantae; Streptophyta; Magnoliopsida; Malpighiales; Euphorbiaceae.